AGGACGAACGCUGGCGGUGUGCUUAACACAUGCAAGUGGAGCGACGAACCAGGGCUUGCCCUGGGGCAGAGCCGCGAACGGGUGAGUAACACGUGGGUGACGUACCCCGAUGACUGGGACAACCCGAGGAAACUCGGGCUAAUACCGGAUAUGUCCGACUCUCACGAGGGAGUUGAGCAAAGGAAGCUUCGGCCUCCGCAUCGGGAGCGGCCCGCGGCCCAUUAGCUAGCUGGUGAGGUAAUGGCUUACCAAGGCGACGACGGGUA
Molecule: ribosomal RNA, 266 nt
Filed under: uncultured bacterium
Lineage: Bacteria
Description: partial small subunit ribosomal RNA
Rfam family: Bacterial small subunit ribosomal RNA
Source: RNAcentral